GAGAGAGUAAGGGAGGGUCGUGUUUCAGUGCUCAGCUGUGCUCUCCUCUCACCUCCCACCCUGACACGCCACGGAUGCAUGCUAUUAUCAUUGAACUCUCAGCUAUUAUUAGAUGCCAUUUCUGUCCAUCUGAAGUUUUCCUCUCAUGCACUCCCUGUUUCCUUCAGCACACACAGCUGUCAGUCUUUGAGAUGGGAGCCAAAGGACUUAUCCAUUAAUACAGAAUCAAGCCCUGGGUGAGAGUCCUUCAUGGGUGCAAAAUGAGUGGCUCCGAUCCAAAGCAAGGCGACAAUACUCGGCUACUGUAGAAACAACACGGUGGACUUCACUGAAGACAACCUGCUCCAUAUGAAGAUACCAGCUGAUAGUAAGAUUGCUGCUGCCAUUACUGUGUCUUAAAAUCACAACGUGUCGCAGUGGUGUGGUGGUGUUGUUGCCUGUAGUGCUGCCCACUACAGGGCACCUGACAUACAUGCAUAGGCCUAAUAUGAAGUGUUGAAGGGGGAGGUUUCAAACCAUGCACCCUGAUAUACAAGAUUGCAGGAGGGGAACUGGUGGCACAGACACUGGAAAAAUACCAGCACAUCUUCACCCAUGACCUGCAUUUGUGACAUUCCUGCUGCAGUGAAGGACACCUAGGAGAGAGCUCGGGCCUGACAUGUUUCCUGUGUUUACAGAUGCUAUGUUUAGUAAGUCUGUUGACAAACACCUUGAAUAUAUGAAGAAAAUUCAGUUUUUUGAAGCUGCAAAACAUAUUAAAAUCCUGACAAAAUGA
Molecule: long non-coding RNA, 775 nt
Organism: Epinephelus lanceolatus (giant grouper)
Lineage: Eukaryota; Metazoa; Chordata; Actinopteri; Perciformes; Serranidae
Source: RefSeq, a predicted model, not a curated record